Molecule: long non-coding RNA, 2381 nt
Filed under: Nicotiana tabacum (common tobacco)
Lineage: Eukaryota; Viridiplantae; Streptophyta; Magnoliopsida; Solanales; Solanaceae
Description: long non-coding RNA (NTAB_LNC008108)
Source: RNAcentral
CUUGAUGUGUAAUUUCUUCCCUUUAAUUAGUAAGUAAGUACUGAUGGAUUCUCCAAAUCCCUUCCAUAAUUAAUUCCUUGAUCAACACAGCAUAUUUGUUCCUUAAAAUAUUCCAUGUUAUCUCCUUCCUAUAAAAUAUUUUCUUCCUAUACUUUGAAUAUAAUUUUUCCAAACUGCUUCUCUUUCACAAUCUUUUACUAUAGUAUGCUUUUAUAACAUAGCCAUUAGAUUUGGACUUUCCUUCUUUAUAACAUCUUCCAUAUCUCCUUCAUUCUUCUGCAAAUCUUCUAUAUGUCGUCUUUGAUCAUUCUUGUUUUAGCAAACAUGUACAAAAAUAAUUUGCCACAAGUAAAUAUUAUUUUACUAAAAGUUAUGCUGGUUUGGUAUCAUCAAAAUCAAUAUGUGAAACCUUGGGGAUAACAAUCUCCCAUUUUUAUUGAUGGCAAACCAUUGAGUACAAAACAUGAAGAUUGCAUCAAAAACUUAAUUAAAGUGCAUCUAAAGUAAUAAGCUAGAUAGACUAGUUACUUUCCUGAAAUGUCCCGCUUAUAUCGAUCUUACUCUUCCAUGGAAGGUAAAUGCUCCCCCUUACUCUAAGGGUUCCAUAGUCAUGCUCCCCUGCCUUCAUGCAUUUUAUCUAUAACAUGUGCAAGGAAAGUUUUGUACCGUAUAUUUUCUCCCCCUUUUGUCAUCAUCAAAAGGGAGUAACAAAUUCUAAAUACAUGAACCUAAGGAUAUAAAAGUCAAGCGACCAAUAUAAUUCGCUAUAUAUUUUUCCUUUCCAAGUAUCCAAUCAAUGAGAGUGCUUAGGAAUCACAUAAACUGGAAGUAGAAAAUAGUGAUUUUAAAGCAAUUAAAAAGCUUUAGAAAAGUUUUAUCAUACGACAAUUCUGGCAAAUAUUCAAUAUGAAAACUCACAGCAAAAAAAACAUAUUUAAAGCGCCAUCGAUUCACAAUAGGUGCACAGCAUAUAAUCACUUCAAAAAUGACUGGAGGACUUUAUAUCAAUUUGAGUAUAACAUCAGUGAGAAUUGUAGUAAAAUACUUUCAACCAUGCUAGAUCACAAGAAUAAUAGAAAACGAUAUUUGAAUUGAUUCAAAAAUAUCUGUAGCUUUCUAGAACCUUAGGUAGAUUGCAAGAUAUACUUGGAAACACACAAAUACUAAGCACAUAGAACCAAGAUGAUCAUUUUUACCAUGAAAGGAUACAAGAAAUAUCAUUAGUAAUACCAAUUUCUUCCCUCAUAUGAGGAAAUAUUUUCUCAUGGAGAUGUAUCCACCUUCCGCUAUAGAUGGGGCUGAAGAGAUUUGUUUUCAUUGCGCAAAUAAACUUUCAAAACAAGUGACAUAAACCAUUUUUGCUUUUGUUGUCCACAACUUUUAUCCUUGUCCAAAAUUUUGUGACUAUUGAAUUCUUCCCACCAAAUCUUUUGAAUUGCCCCUUUGUGCAUUUGGCUUAGUUAAUGACAUUUUCUUCCUUGGCAUGGAGCUUGAAGAAGAAUGUUAAUUCUCCCUCAUGCUCAUCUCGAAUUCAGCCACCUAGCAAAAUUUUAUAGAAUUCUUGAUCCACCUUUAUAUCAGUACUUCGAAAUAUAAUAUCGUCAAUACAAAUUGUACAACUUUAAAAAUAUAAUUACAUGUUUUUUAAAAAUUAUUUUUGGGAAGAGAAAUAAAACUUCUUGGUCACAUGAAUACUGUUUAAAAACUCUCAACAUUGAUGCUUAAAAAAAAUAUUCUUCAAUUAUAAAAUCAUUUCAAACAUAUCAAAAAUAUUUAAAAGCUUUGUAAGAUGACCAUAAAGAUAUCAUAUAACAAUAAUCUCAAUGAAGAAACAAACCUUUUUUGUUGUGAAACCUUGGGCUAUAAGUUUACCCUUGUUAUUCACGACCUUACCAUUUUCAUCAUGCUCAUUUCUGAAUGUCAAUGAUAGUAGCUCACUUGGCUUGGUAAUAAAAUUCACACACUUCAAUUCAUUCAAAUUCUUUCAGCUUGAACUCAUUAUGCUUAGCACAAAUAUUCCUUAUCCAGCUUAUGCAAAUGUGUCCUUAUUGGCUUAUUGCUUGUUCUCGGAAUAUGCUCUUUAUCCUUAUUCACAAAAUUGCUUAAAGAGAUAUUAGUAAACAGAAUCAUGUAGAGACAACUUUAUAAUUAUUAGUCCAAAUACUGAAGAAUUAUUAGUAGUGAAAUGCUAAAAUGAUAUCAUGAAUCUUACCGAUUCCUUACCAUGGUGGGGGUAAGCAUUUGCAACUGAAAAGAUAGAAAUAAUCAACCCUUGAUUUUUCUUCCUUCUAUAUCUCACAUAAGGUGUCCUCUAAUAUAGAUCCAGAAUAUAAAUCAUUUAAAGUGAAUAAUAGAAAUAUAUACCUUUCGUCUUCAAGCUU